UACGUAGGGUGCGAGCGUUGUCCGGAAUUAUUGGGCGUAAAGAGCUCGUAGGCGGUGUGUCGCGUCGGUCGUGAAAACCUGCAGCUUAACUGUGGGCUUGCGGUCGAUACGGGCAUCACUGGAGUUCGGCAGGGGAGACUGGAAUUCCUGGUGUAGCGGUGGAAUGCGCAGAUAUCAGGAGGAACGCCGGUGGCGAAGGCGGGUCUCUGGGCAGUAACUGACGCUUAGGAGCGAAAGCGUGGGGAGCGAACAGG
Molecule: ribosomal RNA, 254 nt
Filed under: uncultured bacterium
Lineage: Bacteria
Description: partial 16S ribosomal RNA
Rfam family: Bacterial small subunit ribosomal RNA
Source: RNAcentral